Molecule: ribosomal RNA, 551 nt
Filed under: uncultured Actinomycetes bacterium
Lineage: Bacteria; Bacillati; Actinomycetota; Actinomycetes
Description: bacterial SSU rRNA
Rfam family: Bacterial small subunit ribosomal RNA
Source: RNAcentral
GGCCAACUACGUGCCAGCAGCCGCGGUGAUACGUAGGGUGCAAGCGUUAUCCGGAUUUAUUGGGCGUAAGGAGCUCGUAGGCGGUUUGAUUAGUCGGGUGUGAAACCUCCAGGCUUAACCUGGAGCCGCCACUCGAUACUGUCAUGACUAGAAUUCGGUAGGGGACCACGGAAUUCCUGGUGUAGCGGUGAAAUGCGCAGAUAUCAGGAGGAACACCAGCAGCGAAGGCGGUGGUCUGGGCCGACAUUGACGCUGAGGAGCGAAAGCGUGGGGAGCGAACAGGAUUAGAUACCCUGGUAGUCCACGCCGUAAACGUUGGGCACUAGGUGUGGGGACUAUUCAACGGUUUCCGUGCCGCAGCUAACGCAUUAAGUGCCCCGCCUGGGGAGUACGGCCGCAAGGCUAAAACUCAAAGGAAUUGACGGGGGCCCGCACAAGCGGCGGAGCAUGUGGCUUAAUUCGAGGCAACGCGAAGAACCUUACCUGGGUUUGACAUGUAGGGAAAAGCCGUAGAGAUACGGUGUCCUUCGGGGCCUUACACAGGUGGUGCA